This 333-nucleotide long non-coding RNA is filed under the name Gossypium barbadense (sea-island cotton). RNAcentral's name for it is "long non-coding RNA (GBAR_LNC016926)". The record is from RNAcentral. Lineage: Eukaryota; Viridiplantae; Streptophyta; Magnoliopsida; Malvales; Malvaceae.
UAAGCCCAAGACAUGUUGGAUUGACUUACGUGGAUUAUGCUUAUAAAUUGAAGUGGUAACCUUUAUUUUUUUUAUUACGAACUUACUAAGCAUUACAUGCUUACUUUGUGUUAAUUUCUUGUGUACUUAGAUAUCGGAAGCUCGUUCGGGUUGGAAGUUGUAGGAGAUCUCAUUACACUAUUUAUCGACUAUUUUGGUAUUUUUGGCUAAAUAUUUGGUUUAAUGGCAUGUAUAGGUCAUUUUAACUAAUGAUAGCCUACAUGUUUUGUUAUGUUUGUAGCCAUUUGAUUUGGCUUGUAUUUGAGGUAUAUUAUGUAUGUAUAUAUGUGUAAA